Molecule: ribosomal RNA, 425 nt
Filed under: uncultured bacterium
Lineage: Bacteria
Description: bacterial SSU rRNA
Rfam family: Bacterial small subunit ribosomal RNA
Source: RNAcentral
GGGGAAUUUUGGACAAUGGGCGCAAGCCUGAUCCAGCAAUGCCGCGUGAGUGAAGAAGGCCUUCGGGUUGUAAAGCUCUUUCAGUUGAGAAGAAAAAAUUGUAACUAAUAAUUACAGUUCAUGACGGUAUCAACAGAAGAAGCACCGGCUAACUACGUGCCAGCAGCCGCGGUAAUACGUAGGGUGCAAGCGUUAAUCGGAAUUACUGGGCGUAAAGGGUGCGCAGGCGGUUCUGUAAGUCAGAUGUGAAAUCCCCGGGCUUAACCUGGGAACUGCGUUUGAAACUACAGGACUAGAGUGUGGCAGAGGGGGGUGGAAUUCCAUGUGUAGCAGUGAAAUGCGUAGAGAUAUGGAAGAACAUCGAUGGCGAAGGCAGCCCCCUGGGUUAACACUGACGCUCAUGCACGAAAGCGUGGGGAGCAAAC